CCCUAGCCCUGAUUGAGCGGCAUGUGUGAGCUCGUUACAAAAAAUAUGGCCAAAAACUUGGCUUUGUAACAGCGAGUAGCGAAAGCAGGUUCUCGG
RNAcentral lists this unclassified non-coding RNA (96 nucleotides) under Soonwooa buanensis. Its description in RNAcentral is "Flavo-1 RNA". Lineage: Bacteria; Pseudomonadati; Bacteroidota; Flavobacteriia; Flavobacteriales; Weeksellaceae. The record is from RNAcentral.